This 253-nucleotide ribosomal RNA is filed under the name uncultured bacterium. RNAcentral's name for it is "partial 16S ribosomal RNA". It matches the Rfam family "Bacterial small subunit ribosomal RNA", at positions 524 to 776 of the family's 1533-position model. The record is from RNAcentral.
UACGAAGGGGGCUAGCGUUGUUCGGAAUCACUGGGCGUAAAGGGCGCGUAGGCGGCUUUGUAAGUCGGGGGUGAAAGCCUGUGGCUCAACCACAGAACUGCCUUCGAUACUGCAUGGCUUGAGACCGGAAGAGGUUAGUGGAACUGCGAGUGUAGAGGUGAAAUUCGUAGAUAUUCGCAAGAACACCAGUGGCGAAGGCGGCUGACUGGUCCGGUUCUGACGCUGAGGCGCGAAAGCGUGGGGAGCAAACAGG